RNAcentral lists this ribosomal RNA (253 nucleotides) under uncultured bacterium. RNAcentral describes it as "partial 16S ribosomal RNA". It matches the Rfam family "Bacterial small subunit ribosomal RNA", at positions 524 to 776 of the family's 1533-position model. The record is from RNAcentral.
UACGGAGGGUGCUAGCGUUGUUCGGAAUUACUGGGCGUAAAGCGCGUGUAGGCGGCCGAUUAAGUCUGGUGUGAAAGCCCGGGGCUCACCCCCGGAAGUGCGCUGGAAACUGGUCGGCUAGAGUAUGGGAGAGGAAAGUGGAAUUCCCGGUGUAGCGGUGAAAUGCGUAGAUAUCAGGAGGAACACCGGUGGUGUAGACGGCUUUCUGGACAAUCACUGACGCUGAGGUACGAAAGCGUGGGUAGCAAACAGG